This 21-nucleotide microRNA is filed under the name Alligator mississippiensis (American alligator). RNAcentral's name for it is "ami-miR-193a-5p". Its record names the gene ami-miR-193a-5p. Lineage: Eukaryota; Metazoa; Chordata; Crocodylia; Alligatoridae. The record is from miRBase by way of RNAcentral.
UGGGUCUUUGCGGGCGAGGUG